This 1268-nucleotide ribosomal RNA is filed under the name Iridona iridescens. Its description in RNAcentral is "Moerella iridescens 16S ribosomal RNA". The stretch from base 627 to 1268 matches the Rfam family "Archaeal large subunit ribosomal RNA", at positions 1423 to 2786 of the family's 2987-position model. Lineage: Eukaryota; Metazoa; Mollusca; Bivalvia; Cardiida; Tellinidae. The record is from RNAcentral.
CAAUAUAGUAGGUUGUUGGGUUAAUUUUUAUAUGUAUGAAUUGGCAUGAGGAUAUGUAUGUUUAAGAUAAAAUACAAUAUUUUCUUUAAAGAAAUAUUUUAUUAAGUAUAUAGAAAGGGUUGGUUUCUGUACUUUUUGCAUCAUGGUCUAUAGAGAGAAAUUAGUUUGGUUUUUUCCCGAAAGUUCUGGAUCUAUUUUAGUUAGAGUGAAUAGAUGAUUCGAUUUUAAUGUUGCAUAAUUGAGUUUGAAGACUGAAAUAGUGUGAAAUGCUAUUCGAAAGGGCUGGUAGCUGGUUUAGAGAGAAAUGUAUCUUAGUACAGGUAUAAAAGUAUAGGUUGUCACUUUGGGUUGUGAUACUUAUGUUUAGUCUGAUAUGACUGGGUGUUAGCUCAUUCAUGUAAAGGAUGUAUGUCUUUAUUUUGAAGUAGGAUUUAUAUUGUCUUUCUUUGAAAUAUUUGUUCAAAGUGUUUGUGAGGAAAAUUUUCUGUUAGGUAUCUCUACAUGGUUAACAAUUUUUUUAUUUUAGAGUAGUAUAGAAUUAGUAAAUUUUGUUAAAUAGAAUGUUUUGGAACAUUGGCUUAAGUUGGGCCUGUCAAUUAAAUUUUAUAACGUUUAGGUAAGUGAAAUAUCGGAUGUGUGAAGUUAUUUAUAAUGAACUCGGCAAAUAUUUUCUGCACCUGUUUAUUAAAAACAUGGCUCUUUGAAUUUUAAUUAAAAAGAGUCUGGCCUGCCCGGUGAGGGAAGCCUUAAACGGUCGCAGCUACCACUGUGCGAAGGUAGCGUAAUAGGUCGUCCUUUAAUUGAGGGAAAGUAUGAAUGGUCGAAUGUUGGAAAUGCUUUAUUAUAAAUAUUUGUUGAAGUUUACUUUUUUGUGCAAAGGCUAAAAUUGUUUUAUUAGACGAGAAGACCCUAUUGAGCUUAGUAAAUUUAGAUUAUAUUUUAAUCAGGAUUAUGUUUUUUCGGGGCUGAAAAGAAGGGAAAUUAUGCCUUCUAUCUUACUAUAAGGAUCCGGUAUGGCUGAUAAGUGGAAGAUAGCUACCAUAGGGAUAACAGCGCAAUCUUCUUGAUAAGGCCAUAUUUAAGAGAAGGUUUGCGACCUCGAUGUUGAAUCAGAAUUUCUGUCAGGUGUAGCAGUUUGACUAGUGGGACUGUUCGUCCUUUAAAAUUUUACGUGAUUUGAGUUUAGACCGGCGUGAGCUAGGUCGGUUUCUAUCUAUAAAUGAAAGUGUCUUAGUACGAAAGGAUCAGAUUCUUUAGUUUUUACUAAA